AAAUGAAUUGACGGGUCCCCGCACAAGCGGCGGAGCAUGCGGCUUAAUUCGAUGCAACCCGAAGAACCUUACCUGGGCUUGACAUCACGGGAAAAGCCGUAGAAAUACGGUGUCCGUAAGGGCCCGUGACAGGUGGUGCAUGGCUGUCGUCAGCUCGUGUCGUGAGAUGUUGGGUUAAGUCCCGCAACGAGCGCAACCCUCGUCCCAUGUUGCCAGCACGUAAUGGUGGGGACUCAUGGGAGACUGCCGGGGACAACUCGGAGGAAGGUGAGGACGACGUCAAGUCAUCAUGCCCCUUAUGCCCAGGGCUGCACGCAUGCUACAAUGGCCGGUACAAUGGGCUGCGAACCCGCGAGGGGGAGCUAAUCCUCAAAGCCGGCCUCAGUUCGGAUUGGAGUCUGCAACUCGACUCCAUGAAGCCGGAGUCGCUAGUAAUCGCGGAUCAGCAAAGCCGCGGUGAAUACGUUCUCGGGGAUUGUACACACCGCCCGU
RNAcentral lists this ribosomal RNA (492 nucleotides) under uncultured bacterium. Its description in RNAcentral is "bacterial SSU rRNA". It matches the Rfam family "Bacterial small subunit ribosomal RNA", at positions 903 to 1397 of the family's 1533-position model. The record is from RNAcentral.